UCAUAUUCUAAGUACAAUUUCUGAUCCAAUCUCUCAGAUUAGGUAAUAUUUUCUCUAUGUGACUGACCCCACACAAGAUGCACCACCAUGAAUGACAAAUGAACUUCUUCAAGCAGAACUGCAACACAUGUCUACCAAGGGGUCUGUCUGUUCCUUCCUCAAAGGUGUUGACAGGAUCUUGUUAAGUUGCCCAGGCUGAUGCUCAUGAACUUCCCAUCUUCUUUCCUCAAACAUCAGAGUACCUGAAAUCACAGGUGUGCACCACCACAUCCAGCCAGACAGUGUUACUGCAUUUAAUUUUUGAUGGAUUUUGACUGAUUCAGGAUAACACAAUGUGAAGGGCUCAACCAUUUUAUGACUAUCAACUCUGUACAAAGAAUAAUGCUGACAUGCUAUGACAUAGAACUGGAAUGUGGGCACUAGUCACACUGGCCAGCAGCAACACACUCUGUGUUUUGUGGAUAAACAGAAGAUAUAUUAAAAAACAUAACAGUGAACAAAACAUGAGGAAGACAACACCACACUCACUGGUAAUAUGAAUAGUAUGUACUGUUAGAUAUUAAAAUUUAAUACAAAGACUCAAGAGCUACUCCAAAGCAAGAGAAAAAAGCCACACAUACCUC
Non-coding RNA from Peromyscus maniculatus bairdii (prairie deer mouse), 623 nucleotides. Lineage: Eukaryota; Metazoa; Chordata; Mammalia; Rodentia; Cricetidae. The record is from RefSeq and is a predicted model, not a curated record.